UACGUAGGGGGCAAGCGUUGUCCGGAAUCAUUGGGCGUAAAGAGCGUGUAGGCGGCCAGAUAAGUCCGCUGUGAAAACUCGAGGCUCAACUUCGAGCUGUCGGCGGAAACUAUCUGGCUAGAGUCCGGAAAAGGAGAGUGGAAUUCCUGGUGUAGCGGUGAAAUGCGCAGAUAUCAGGAAGAACACCCGUGGCGAAGGCGGCUCUCUGGGACGGUACUGACGCUGAGACGCGAAAGCGUGGGGAGCGAACAGG
This 253-nucleotide ribosomal RNA is filed under the name uncultured bacterium. RNAcentral's name for it is "partial 16S ribosomal RNA". It matches the Rfam family "Bacterial small subunit ribosomal RNA", at positions 524 to 776 of the family's 1533-position model. The record is from RNAcentral.